AGCUCAGAACUGGUACGGA
This 19-nucleotide small nuclear RNA is filed under the name Arabidopsis thaliana (thale cress). RNAcentral describes it as "snRNA_00050". The record is from RNAcentral. Lineage: Eukaryota; Viridiplantae; Streptophyta; Magnoliopsida; Brassicales; Brassicaceae.